Molecule: ribosomal RNA, 433 nt
Filed under: uncultured bacterium
Lineage: Bacteria
Description: bacterial SSU rRNA
Rfam family: Bacterial small subunit ribosomal RNA
Source: RNAcentral
UGAGGAAUAUUGGUCAAUGGCCGGAAGGCUGAACCAGCCAAGCCGCGUGGAGGAAGAAGGCGCAGAGCGUCGCAGACUCCUUUUGUCGGGGGACAAACGGCCGCACGCGUGCGGCUCUGAGGGUACCCGAAGAAAAAGCAUCGGCUAACUCCGUGCCAGCAGCCGCGGUAAUACGGAGGAUGCGAGCGUUAUCCGGAUUCAUUGGGUUUAAAGGGUGCGUAGGCGGUGUCUUAAGCCGGCGGUGAAAUCGCGGGGCUCAACCCGCCGAGCCGUCGGAACUGGGAUGCUCGAGUGUCCGGCGAGGCAUGCGGAAUGCGCGGUGUAGCGGUGAAAUGCAUAGAUAUCGCGCAGAACCCCGAUUGCGAAGGCAGCGUGCCAGCCGCCCACUGACGCUGAGGCACGAAAGCGCGGGUAUCGAACAGGAUUAGAUACC